Non-coding RNA from Triticum aestivum (bread wheat), 125 nucleotides. Lineage: Eukaryota; Viridiplantae; Streptophyta; Magnoliopsida; Poales; Poaceae. The record is from Rfam.
UAUGUACUCCCUCCGUCUGAAAAAACUUGUCCCAAAUUUAUCUCUCAAAUGAAUGUAUCUAGCACUAACUUAAUGCUAGUCACAUCCAUUUAAGAGACAAGCUUUUCGGACGGAGUGAGUACUAA